GACGAACGCUGGCGGCGUGCUUAACACAUGCAAGUCGAGCGGUAAGGCCCUUUCGGGGGUACGACGAGCGGCGAACGGGUGAGUAACACGUGGGUGACCUGCCCUCAGCUCUGGGAUAAGCCCGGGAAACUGGGUCUAAUACCGGAUAUGACUCCACGGUGCAUGUCGUGGGGUGGAAAGCCUUGUGCGGCUGAGGAUGGGCCCGCGGCCUAUCAGCUUGUUGGUGGGGUGAUGGCCACCAAGGCGACGACGGGUAGCCGGCCUGAGAGGGCGACCGGCCGACACUGGGACUGAGACACGGCCCAGACUCCUACGGGAGGCAGCAGUGGGGAAUCUUGCGCAAUGGGCGAAAGCCUGACGCAGCGACGCCGCGUGAGGGAUGACGGCC
RNAcentral lists this ribosomal RNA (388 nucleotides) under uncultured bacterium. RNAcentral describes it as "bacterial SSU rRNA". It matches the Rfam family "Bacterial small subunit ribosomal RNA", at positions 28 to 416 of the family's 1533-position model. The record is from RNAcentral.